AGAUUGAACGCUGGCGGCAUGCCUUACACAUGCAAGUCGAACGGCAGCACGGGAGCAAUCCUGGUGGCGAGUGGCGAACGGGUGAGUAAUACAUCGGAACGUGCCCAAUCGUGGGGGAUAACGCAGCGAAAGCUGUGCUAAUACCGCAUAAGAUCUACGGAUGAAAGCAGGGGAUCGCAAGACCUUGCGCGAAUGGAGCGGCCGAUGGCAGAUUAGGUAGUUGGUGAGGUAAAGGCUCACCAAGCCUUCGAUCUGUAGCUGGUCUGAGAGGACGACCAGCCACGACUGGGACUGAGACACGGCCCAGACUCCGACGGGAGGCAGCAGGUGGGGAAUUUUGGACAAGUGGGGGAAACCCUGUACUCCGAGACCACUACCCGGCGUA
This 385-nucleotide ribosomal RNA is filed under the name uncultured soil bacterium. Its description in RNAcentral is "bacterial SSU rRNA". It matches the Rfam family "Bacterial small subunit ribosomal RNA", at positions 26 to 411 of the family's 1533-position model. The record is from RNAcentral.